GGGAGCUGUCUUUAUUCUUGUUUAUUUAUCAGUUCAAACAGAUUGUCAUGAACAUGCUUGAUUGCCUUCAUUUGACAGAGAAACCAAUAGUAUAUAAAAUCAUGGGCAGAGGUCCCCGAACCAUGGUGUACUAUAGUGGGCCUUUGUACUCUGUAUCUAAUCAUCUAACCUUAGAUGCAGGCAUUAGUUUAUGCGUUGAUACCGUCAUACGCCGUUGUUUCAUGACAAUGCCCAUCAAGCAGACAAAGAGUGACGACGACACUAGCUCACAUAUGAAGUGCAAAGGGUUUUCUUCCUUCUUGCAUGUUGGUGUAAAGAGCAGGUAAACCUGCUUGCGCGAUGGUACAAGCAGCAUCAACAGAGGUAUAGGGAAAUUUUUGAACUGUAACAAGUUGCGGACCCUUGACUUCAAUAAUUGUG
Molecule: unclassified non-coding RNA, 420 nt
Filed under: Zea mays
Lineage: Eukaryota; Viridiplantae; Streptophyta; Magnoliopsida; Poales; Poaceae
Description: misc RNA Zm00001eb325440
Source: RNAcentral